AGUGAACGCUGGCGGUAGGCCUAACACAUGCAAGUCGAACGGCAGCACAGUAAGAGCUUGCUCUUACGGGUGGCGAGUGGCGGACGGGUGAGGAAUACAUCGGAAUCUACUUUUUCGUGGGGGAUAACGUAGGGAAACUUACGCUAAUACCGCAUACGACGUACGGGUGAAAGCAGGGGAUCUUCGGACCUUGCGCGAUUGAAUGAGCCGAUGUCGGAUUAGCUAGUUGGCGGGGUAAAGGCCCACCAAGGCGACGAUCCGUAGCUGGUCUGAGAGGAUGGUCAGCCACACUGGAACGGAGACACGGUCCAGACUCCUACGGGAGGCAGCAGUGGGGAAUAUUGGACAAUAGGCGCAAGCCUGAUCCAGCCAUACCGCGUGGGUGAAGAAGGCCUUCGGGUUGUAAAGCCCUUUUGUCGGGAAAGAAAAGCAGCAGGUUAAUACCCCGCUGUUCUGACGGUACCCAAAGAAUAAGCACCGGCUAACUUCGUG
Molecule: ribosomal RNA, 492 nt
Filed under: uncultured bacterium
Lineage: Bacteria
Description: partial 16S ribosomal RNA
Rfam family: Bacterial small subunit ribosomal RNA
Source: RNAcentral